Molecule: ribosomal RNA, 92 nt
Filed under: Clostridioides difficile
Lineage: Bacteria; Bacillati; Bacillota; Clostridia; Peptostreptococcales; Peptostreptococcaceae
Source: RNAcentral
CACCUGUUCCCAUUCCGAACACAGAAGUUAAGCUCUCUAGCGCUGAUGGUACUUGGUGGGAAACUGCCUGGGAGAGUAGGACGUAGCCACAU